GACGUAGGAAGCAAGCGUUGUCCGGAAUGACUGGGCGUAAAGGGUGCGUAGGCGGCUCUUUAAGUCUGAUGUGAAAUCCUGUGGCUUAACCAUAGAACUGCAUCAGAUACUGGGGAGCUGGAGUGCGGAAGAGGUUGACGGAAUUACUAGUGUAGCGGUGGAAUGCGUAGAUAUUAGUAAGAAGACCGGAGGCGAAGGCGGUCAACUGGGACGUAACUGACGCUGAGGCACGAAAGCGUGGGGAGCAAACAGG
This 253-nucleotide ribosomal RNA is filed under the name uncultured bacterium. RNAcentral describes it as "partial 16S ribosomal RNA". It matches the Rfam family "Bacterial small subunit ribosomal RNA", at positions 524 to 776 of the family's 1533-position model. The record is from RNAcentral.